This 422-nucleotide ribosomal RNA is filed under the name uncultured bacterium. RNAcentral's name for it is "bacterial SSU rRNA". It matches the Rfam family "Bacterial small subunit ribosomal RNA", at positions 358 to 772 of the family's 1533-position model. The record is from RNAcentral.
GGAAUUUUGCGCAAUGGGCGCAAGCCUGAUCCAGCCAUGCCGCGUGUGUGAAGAAGGCCUUCGGGUUGUAAAGCACUUUCGGACGGAACGAAAUCGCGCGGGUGAACGAUCCGCGUGGCUGACGGUACCGUAAGAAGAAGCACAGGCUAACUACGUGCCAGCAGCCGCGGUAAUACGUAGGGUGCAAGCGUUAAUCGGAAUUACUGGGCGUAAAGGGUGCGCAGGCGGCCCCGCAUGUCGAGUGUGAAAUCCCCGGGCUUAACUUGGGAAUGGCGCUCGAAACUACGGGGCUGGAGUGUGGCAGAGGGAGGUGGAAUUCCACGUGUAGCGGUGAAAUGCGUAGAGAUGUGGAGGAACACCGAUGGCGAAGGCAGCCUCCUGGGCCGACACUGACGCUCAUGCACGAAAGCGUGGGGAGCAAA